AAUCGAACUCGGAGAUAGCUGGUUCUCCUCGAAAUAGCUUUAGGGCUAGCCUUGAGGUAAAACAUGUGGGGGUAGAGCACUGAAUGAUUUAGGGGCCAAACCAGGUUACCGACAUCUAUCAAACUGCGAAUACCAUGUGGAAGUACUCAGGAGUCAGACUGCGGGAGCUAAGUUCCGUGGUCAAAAGGGAAAGAGCCCAGACCGACAAUUAAGGUCCCAAAGAGAUAGUUAAGUGGAAAACGAUGUGAAAAUGCAAAGACAACCAGGAUGUUGGCUUAGAAGCAGCCAUACAUUAAAAGAGUGCGUAACAGCUCACUGGUCGAGUGAAUUUGCGCGGAAAAUUACCGGGGCUAAACUAUCCACCGAAAUUACGGAUUGCAGUACAUUUAACAAUGUAUGCGGAAAGAGAAAAGAAGAAAGAAGUAUAUAUUGUUAAGUGUACUGUAGUGGUAGAGGAGCAUUCUGUAGUAGGAAGAAGCUAAAGCGAGAGCAUUAGUGGACGAGACAGAAGAGAGAAUGCUGGAAUAAGUAGCGAGAGCAAGGUGAGAAUCCUUGCCGUCGAAAGUCUAAGGUUUCCUGGGGAAGGUUCGUCCGCCCAGGGUAAGUCGGGACCUAAGGAGAGGCCGAGAAGGCGUAUCUGAUGGACAGCAGGUUGAAAUUCCUGCACUACCGAUACUUUAAAAAACGUCAAGGGACGCAGGAGAGGAAGGAAAGCGAGGAAGAGGAAAGACUCGUAUCGAAAGAUAUAGUGAAAAAAUGAAGUAACGAAUUUCCAAGAAUCACACUGACGAGAAAAGCUUGAUGACAUUAAGUAAAGGUACCCGUACCGCAAACCGACACAGGUAGAUGAGGAGAGGAUCCUAAGACGAACGGGAGAAGCAUUGUUAAGGAACUCGGCAAAAUGACCCCGUAACUUCGGGAGAAGGGGAACCUAGGUAAAACUAGGUCGCAGAGAAAAGGCCCAAGCAACUGUUUAACAAAAACACAGGUUUCUGCUAAAUCGAAAGAUGAAGUAUAGGAGCUGACGCCUGCCCAGUGCUGGAAGGUCAAAGGGAAGUGUUAGUAUUAACUACGAAGCACAGAACUCAAGCCCCAGUGAACGGCGGCCGUAACUAUAACGGUCCUAAGGUAGCGAAAUUCCUUGUCAGGUAAGUUCUGACCCGCACGAAAGGCGUAAUGAUUUGGGCACUGUCUCGACAAUGUACCCGGCGAAAUUGUAGUACUAGUGAAGAUGCUAGUUACCUGCGACAAGACAGAAAGACCCCAUGGAGCUUUACUGUAGUUUGAUAUUGGGUUUUGGUAAUUUAUGUACAGGAUAGGUGGGAGACAGAGAAGGAUGUGCGUCAGCAUAUCUGGAGUCAACGUUGGGAUACCACUCUUAAGUUAUUGAAAUUCUAACUUGUGAUCAUAAACUGGUCAGAGGACAAUGUCAGACGGGCAGUUUGACUGGGGCGGUCGCCUCCAAAAGAGUAACGGAGGCGCCCAAAGGUUCCCUCAGUGCGGACAGAAAUCGCACAAAAGAGUGUAAAGGCAGAAGGGAGCUUAACUGGAAGAUAGACAUAUCGAGCAGAUACGAAAGUAGGGCUUAGUGAUCCGGUGGAAUUGAAUGGAAAAGCCAUCGCUCAACGGACAAAAGUUACCCUGGGGAUAACAGGCUUAUCUCCCCCAAGAGUUCACAUCGACGGGGAGGUUUGGCACCUCGAUGUCGGCUCAUCGCAUCCUGGAGCGGAAGUACGUUCCAAGGGUUGGGCUGUUCGCCCAUUAAAGCGGUACGCGAGCUGGGUUCAGAACGUCGUGAGACAGUUCGGUCCUUAUCUGUCGCAGGCGUAGGAUAUUUGAAGGGAGCUGUCCUUAGUACGAGAGGACCAGGAUGGACAUACCGAUGGUUUAUCAGUUGUCACACCAGUGGCAUGGCUGAGUAGCCAAGUAUGGAAGGGAUAAACGCUGAAAGCAUCUAAGUGUGAAGCCCACCCUAAGAUAAGAUAUCUCAUACCGUAAGGUAGU
This 2004-nucleotide ribosomal RNA is filed under the name human gut metagenome. Its description in RNAcentral is "bacterial LSU rRNA". It matches the Rfam family "Bacterial large subunit ribosomal RNA", at positions 831 to 2829 of the family's 2925-position model. The record is from RNAcentral.